ACCUUGACGGUACCUAACCAGAAAGCCACGGCUAACUACGUGCCAGCAGCCGCGGUAAUACGUAGGUGGCAAGCGUUGUCCGGAAUUAUUGGGCGUAAAGGGCUCGCAGGCGGUUUCUUAAGUCUGAUGUGAAAGCCCCCGGCUCAACCGGGGAGGGUCAUUGGAAACUGGGAAACUUGAGUGCAGAAGAGGAGAGUGGAAUUCCACGUGUAGCGGUGAAAUGCGUAGAGAUGUGGAGGAACACCAGUGGCGAAGGCGACUCUCUGGUCUGUAACUGACGCUGAGGAGCGAAAGCGUGGGGAGCGAACAGGAUUAGAUACCCUGGUAGUCCACGCCGUAAACGAUGAGUGCUAAGUGUUAGGGGGUUUCCGCCCCUUAGUGCUGCAGCUAACGCAUUAAGCACUCCGCCUGGGGAGUACGGUCGCAAGACUGAAACUCAAAGGAAUUGACGGGGGCCCGCACAAGCGGUGGAGCAUGUGGUUUAAUUCGAAGCAACGCGAAGAACCUUACCAGGUCUUGACAUCCUCUGACAACCCUAGAGAUAGGGCUUUCCCUUCGGGGACAGAGUGACAGGUGGUGCAUGGUUGUCGUCAGCUCGUGUCGUGAGAUGUUGGGUUAAGUCCCGCAACGAGCGCAACCCUUGAUCUUAGUUGCCAGCAUUCAGUUGGGCACUCUAAGGUGACUGCCGGUGACAAACCGGAGGAA
RNAcentral lists this ribosomal RNA (705 nucleotides) under Bacillus sp. (in: firmicutes). RNAcentral's name for it is "bacterial SSU rRNA". It matches the Rfam family "Bacterial small subunit ribosomal RNA", at positions 466 to 1171 of the family's 1533-position model. The record is from RNAcentral. Lineage: Bacteria; Bacillati; Bacillota; Bacilli; Caryophanales; Bacillaceae.